This is a long non-coding RNA of Astatotilapia calliptera (eastern happy), 4380 nucleotides long. The record is from Ensembl. Lineage: Eukaryota; Metazoa; Chordata; Actinopteri; Cichliformes; Cichlidae.
UACUGUACGGUUUUUGAGAAAAUUGAUAGUAAACUUUGCACAAUUUACUCUACUGUACUUUUAAUAUUCUCAUCUUUGACCUCAGAUUACAGGAAAACUAUAAGAGGUGACACAGAUAUUUCACUGGAUUAUGACUCUGAGUGACCCCCACUCUGUCAUCCCUGUGAUCCACAGCCAAAAUUACUGUACGGUUUUUGAGAAAAUUCAUAGUAAAAUCUUCCCAUUUUGCUUUACUGUACUCCACAUAUUAACAUCUUUGAGCUCAGAUUACAGGAAAACUGUAAGAGGUGACGCAGAUAUUUCACUGGAUUAUGACUCUGGGUGACCCCCACUCUGCACCCUGUGAUCCACAGCCAAAAUUACUGUACGGUUUUUGAGAAAAUUGAUAGUAAACUUUGCACAAUUUACUGUACUAUACUUUUAAUGUCCUCGUCUUUGACCUCAGAUUACAGGAAUAUGAGAGUAUGAAACAAAAAUUGGGCAGAAACUUUCCUCUCGUUUCAAAUUCUAAUAAAAGCGACCAGGUAAUGUUUAAGAGGUACGACAAACUGACGCUGGCGAAGACUAACAUGUCCGUGUCACUGCUUCUUUCCACUUUUUUCAGCCACUAGUAGAUGUUAACAGAAAAUGCCACCGAUUGUUAAAUAACAAUCAAGAUUAGUAGACGUGUCGGAUGAUUUUCUUUUAAUAAGCCAUAGUCCCUGUUGUCAAACCAAUAAUCUUCUUUUAAAAAAUAAGAACCUUUUUUGUCAUUAAGUGUUUAAUUCAGUGUUUUAAGGAAAUUAAAAAGUAUUGCUGUGUGAUAUAUAUUUUAUAUAGUUUACCUUACGAACACUGUUUUUGUACCAACAGAACGGCUUGUGCUCAGAGGAUGAGGGCAGGCUUUACAUGGUGUGAGAUUGGGGGGGGAAAAAAGCUUAAAUGAGUGAGAAGGACGAUGAAGGAAACAUCUGUGCUGUGUCUGCUCUACGGUGGCGGAUCUGCAGGAAGAACUGAGGACGUCCGUCAUGGACGAAUCAUCAUCAUCAGAGAGAAGAGAGAGAGUCCGAGCUGAGAGAAAGGUGCUCCGAGGAAGAGGGCGGGCUUUACUUGGUGUCAGUGAGAGAAAUGAAAAAAAGCUCAAAUGAGUGAGAAGGACGAUGAAGGAAACAUCUGUGCUGUGUCUGCUCUGUGGUCCAAUGUUUCUGGAUUACCCACAGCCCCCUCUGUCUGCAUAAAAGCAGUGCUGGAACACUGGUGUACCAUGGCCUCGUGAGCAUCAGGGGAACAGUGUUGUCCUUGUUGCUACAGAAAAUGGAUCUGUGUACGCCAUCGAGUAGGCGAAAGAAUGGUUACACAGCAUUCUGCAGCGCCAUGCGGUACCCUCUGGUAAGCUUGAAAAUAUGGAGUGGCCAGCACGGUCUCCAGACUUAAACCCCAUCAAGCUGUUUUGGGAUGAACUGGACCGAAGAGUGAAAGCAAAGCAACCUACAAGUGUCAAACAUUGUAGAAAGACCGCCAUGGCUGUGUUCAGCUGUUAUAUCUGCCAAAGGUGGCUACUUUGAGAAGUUGAGAAUACAUUUGUCUUUAAAUUGAUUCUGAUUUCUUUUUUUAACUCCAAUUGCUUAUUUGUACUGUGCUUUCAUUUCAGAGUACAAUGAGACAUUAAACUGGAUAAUUUCCAAUAAGCUCUGAUGAAGCUGGAUUGACUAAAGUUAUUGUGUCGUGUUUCCAUGUGUUCAGUAAUUUUACUGUUAUUUGUAUUUUGUUUCUAAGUGCUGUCGUCUCCACAGCAGUGAUCUGGUUUCUCUGCAGUUUCAAUAAACUUUGGUCUCACUUGAUCUUCUGUUUGUUUCACAAAGAUGUCUGAUGGACAACCUGAGUUGUUGUGAUGAACCAAAACACUUCAGUUUUCUUCAAAGCAGAUAAAGUUCCUGUGAGCCACAGACAGCAGGAACGAUUUCACACAUGAAUCUUAGUUUCUGUGAAGUUUGUCUGUUGACAGCAGAACUGAUUUGAUUGCAACUCAUUUAAUGGACAAAAUAAAUUUCAGGUACAGCUGCACUCAGCUUUUUCUGUAUCUACACGAUGGAUCAUUGUUCAUUAUAAAAUAUGAUGUGAAAAUUUAACCCCGUUUUAUAAAAUGUUUAACAAGUUUGCUUGAAGGGGAAAAAACCACAGGAUACAACUUUGCAAAGAGACUUAGAAUAGAUUAUAACAAGUCAAACUCUUAUUUUAAUAGAUGCAUAUCAACAUUUGGUGAUAUGAGGGAAACUCCAUUAAUAAACGGUCUUCAUGUACAGUGUGUGGGAGUUUCUGCAUACUGAUGAAACUGUCUUUAAAAGAAAACGGACAAUAAAUGCAUCACAGACACAUCUGAUUGUGUUAAAGCUCCCUGUGGUGGAGGGCUAAUAAACCACCACAAAAUGUGGUGUUAUAUCUGCCGAAGGUGGCUUUGGUCUCACUUGAUCUUCUCCUGUGGUUCUGUGGGUUUCACUAAGAUGUCUGAUGGAAAACAUGAGUUGUGGUGAACCCAGACACACUUCAGUUUUCUUCAAAGCAGAUAAAGUUGAUGUGAGCCAAGACUUAAAGCAGCGGGAACACUUUCACACAUGAAUCUUAUGCUACGUUCACACUGCAGGCGAUGCGGUGUGAAUUUGGAUUUAGGCAGUGUUGUCUUUAACUUCACUGAACGUACGACCCCAAAAAAUGAAGGUCUGAUAGGUGAGCAUGUUGGGAUUUUGUAAAAAGCUGAAAUGUUAUUAUCACAUGUGUUGUAAUGUGUGUGUGUGCAUGGUAUAUGUAGAAUCUGGUCCAGUGAUUGUAGAUUGAGGAUUUAUAUAAAUGAGUGAACUCUAAACCUUAAAUAAAUGUGUCUGUUCCUCCAAACUCUGAUUGGGGCUGCCACCCAUGGUACGUCAGCAAAUUUCAGAUAACAAUAGUGGUACAUCUACAGAAAAUAAAUAAAUACUCAUUUCAGACAAACAUAAAAUUUUGCUGUUUUUAUUUACACAUUUCUAAAACAUUAUGGGCAAUUUAUACAUGUUAUUUAAUUAAAUUACACACACAAUACAAAAUAUAUAAGGAAAGAUGUUGUCUUUAACUUUAGUUCAUUAUAUUCCAGUAGGCAGUAUUUUUUUUUUUUGGCAACUUAUCAGCUCAGUGUUAAUUAGAAAGACUAAUUCUUGCUUGACCAGACUAAUUUCUUGGGACUUUCCAACAGAUGCUUGAGAAUAGGGCUGGGCAAGCAGCAGGCGCACCUCGCAAACAGAGGGCGCCCUUACUCCCAGCAAAUGAGCGAUAGAAAACCGACCUGUGCCUGUGCCGUCCCCAGUAUGCGCUGGCAUGACGUCGCGCAGCAUGAGUAGGAGCAAUUGUCUAAAAAUGUUUCUGGUGUUUUCUCACCUGAGACCACGUGAUUUAUGUUAAAUUUUCCUGUGAGUUCAGGUCACUGAGGUGUGUUAAAUGUCAAAAAUAUCACUUCUUUGUUUUUGCUUCAGCUCUUCAGCAGGAUGUUCAGGUGAAGUUUGGAGAUGACGUCACUCUCCAGUGUCAGAUUUCCACAGAUGAAAUAAUCUCAGUGCUGAAGUGGAGCAGAGCUGACCUGAACACAGACGGCUACGUCUACUUCUACACUGUAGAAGUAGACGUAGCCGUCUUUGAUUGGGUGUGGUGCUUGGCCUUAAUUGCACUCACCUGUCACUCGUUAUAUAAGGACGGCACUCACCUACCCCUCACUUUUUCUUCACUCCCACAUGGGGCGGUAGCUGAGGUGAGUUUCGCUUUGAGUCUCCUGAGUUCAUGUAUCAUUUUGAGUUACUUAAAUCAUACUUUAUGUCCUUUUUAGAGAGAGCAGUCCAUGUGUGUCUUUCUUUCCUUUACCUGUUAUACAAUAAAACGACAAAACCUGCAAAUGAUUGAUGACCACUUAUUUUCAUUCUAAUCGGAUGAGCCCAUGAUGACGACUACUGAAACCCUGAACCUUCCUUCCUCCAAAACACGUAGUUUGUGCUGGAGAGAAUAAUUUGUUUGAUUUUAUUCUGCUGGCAGUACUUUUUACAGCUCACGGAGCUCAGAACAGCUACAUCUGUAGGCUGUUUGUCUCUGAGAGCACCCAGCAGCAAAAAAAGAAGCUAACAAAGUUCAGCUUUAUUAUUGCACUGUCUUAAAAAAAGGAUUUCAGGGUUAGUGCCCUGUCAGCAACACAUUACUGGACUCUGGUGGUCUGUGUUUAACAAGAAACAGGUUGAAAGUCACGUGUAUAGAAAUUUGCUGAAAGGACAAAAAAUAAAGAGCUGAGUGACACUAAUAUACUCUUAUUUAUUUCAGUGUUUCACAGUUUUUGUAAGUGCACUAUCUGCUGAGAUUGACUUUGUAUUGACAUUAAACUCUUUCACAAAA